This 230-nucleotide ribosomal RNA is filed under the name uncultured bacterium. RNAcentral's name for it is "partial 16S ribosomal RNA". It matches the Rfam family "Bacterial small subunit ribosomal RNA", at positions 562 to 791 of the family's 1533-position model. The record is from RNAcentral.
AAAGCGUGCGCAGGCGGUUUUGUAAGUCUGUCGUGAAAGUCCCGGGCUUAACAUGGGAAUUGCGAUGGAGACUGCAAGGCUUGAAUCUGGCAGAGGGGGGUAGAAUUCCACGUGUAGCAGUGAAAUGCGUAGAGAUGUGGAGGAACACCGAUGGCGAAGGCAGCCCCCUGGGUCAAGAUUGACGCUCAUGCACGAAAGCGUGGGGAGCAAACAGGAUUAGAUACCCUGGU